CCUACGGGAGGCUGCAGUGAGGAAUAUUGGACAAUGGACGGAAGUCUGAUCCAGCCAUGCCGCGUGCAGGAUGAAGGCGCUCAGCGUUGUAAACUGCUUUUGGAUGGGAAUAAUAACCUCGACGUGUUCGGGGCUUGAAGGUACCAUCAGAAUAAGCACCGGCUAACUCCGUGCCAGCAGCCGCGGUAAUACGGAGGGUGCAAGCGUUAUCCGGAAUCACUGGGUUUAAAGGGUGCGUAGGCGGCGCGAUAAGUCAGUUGUGAAAUUCCCCGGCUUAACCGGCGGAACUGCGAUUGAUACUGUCGUGCUUGAAUCAGGUUGAGGUAGGCGGAAUGUGGCAUGUAGCGGUGAAAUGCUUAGAUAUGCCAUAGAACACCGAUUGCGAAGGCAGCUUGCUGGACCUUGAUUGACGCUGAGGCACGAAAGCGUGGGGAGCAAACAGGAUUAGAUACCCCUGUAGUC
Molecule: ribosomal RNA, 462 nt
Filed under: uncultured Saprospiraceae bacterium
Lineage: Bacteria; Pseudomonadati; Bacteroidota; Saprospiria; Saprospirales; Saprospiraceae
Description: bacterial SSU rRNA
Rfam family: Bacterial small subunit ribosomal RNA
Source: RNAcentral